UUUUAGGGAGACCUACACCCCUUAGAUAUCGAAAAACACACAGUUAAAUAGAUAGUAAGUUGGUCUAACCUAGGUCGGUCGAGAAUUGGUAUAAAGCUUUCAAAGUAUUAAUGGUUCAGAAUAUUAAACAGAAAAGUGAUUGAGAGUUCAGCAACGUGACUUAAUUGAAGUCAGACUGCUGAGUUAGUUCUCAGCCAGAACCUUGAAAACUGCAUAGUAACGCGAAAUUAGCAGGCAGACACAGACAUUCUUUAUGGAUGUUGUAGUGAAUGCAUUAUGUGAAACACCAAAUGAAUUGAGU
RNAcentral lists this unclassified non-coding RNA (301 nucleotides) under Nostoc indistinguendum CM1-VF10. Lineage: Bacteria; Bacillati; Cyanobacteriota; Cyanophyceae; Nostocales; Nostocaceae. The record is from RNAcentral.